AGUGAAGAAUGUGGAGAGUGGCCGGAGCACCCCGGGAGUGAAGCUGUUUUUUGGGCAUGAGAUCAUAAAUGUGGAACUACUGGACGAAGUGGAGCAAGGUGCAGCGUGGGAAAAGACAUCUUCCAUUAGUCUAACCACUGAGAGAGACAGGAUGGAUAAAAUGAAAGAUGAAGACCUAAACAUAUGUGAACCUGUAUCACCUCCACCCGAGGCGCUGACUACCUCUCUGCUCAGUGAUCUCAAAUACAGUC
Molecule: long non-coding RNA, 251 nt
Organism: Dipodomys ordii (Ord's kangaroo rat)
Lineage: Eukaryota; Metazoa; Chordata; Mammalia; Rodentia; Heteromyidae
Exons: 3
Source: RefSeq, a predicted model, not a curated record